Molecule: ribosomal RNA, 453 nt
Filed under: uncultured Porphyromonadaceae bacterium
Lineage: Bacteria; Pseudomonadati; Bacteroidota; Bacteroidia; Bacteroidales; Porphyromonadaceae
Description: partial 16S ribosomal RNA
Rfam family: Bacterial small subunit ribosomal RNA
Source: RNAcentral
ACGGAAGGCAGCAGUGGGGAAUAUUGGUCAAUGGGCGGAAGCCUGAACCAGCCAAGUCGCGUGAAGGAAGACGGUAUUAUGUAUUUUAAACUUCUUUAGCAGUAGAGCAAUAACCUCCUUGCGAGGGGGGAUGAGAGUAUACUGAGAAUAAGCAUCGGCUAACUCCGUGCCAGCAGCCGCGGUAAUACGGAGGAUGCGAGCGUUAUCCGGAUUUAUUGGGUUUAAAGGGUGCGCAGGCGGUCCUUUAAGUCAGUGGUUAAAGCGUGGGGCUCAACCCCAGCACGCCAUUGAUACUGGAGGACUUGAGUGCGGUUGAGGUAGGCGGAAUUCGUCGUGUAGCGGUGAAAUGCAUAGAUAUGACGAAGAACCCCGAUUGCGUAGGCAGCUUACCAAGCCGUAAAUGACGCUCAUGCACGAAAGUGCGGGGAUCGAACAGGAUUAGAUACCCUGGUA